UGGGGAAUAUUGGACAAUGGGCGCAAGCCUGAUCCAGCCAUGCCGCGUGUGUGAAGAAGGCCUUAGGGUUGUAAAGCACUUUCAGUGGGGAGGAAGGGUGUUGUGUUAAUAGCACAGCAUUUUGACGUUACCCACAGAAGAAGCACCGGCUAACUCCGUGCCAGCAGCCGCGGUAAUACGGAGGGUGCAAGCGUUAAUCGGAAUUACUGGGCGUAAAGCGCACGCAGGCGGCUUUUUAAGUCGGAUGUGAAAGCCCCGGGCUCAACCUGGGAAUUGCAUCUGAUACUGGGAAGCUAGAGUAUGUGAGAGGGGGGUAGAAUUCCAAGUGUAGCGGUGAAAUGCGUAGAGAUUUGGAGGAAUACCAGUGGCGAAGGCGGCCCCCUGGCACAAUACUGACGCUCAGGUGCGAAAGCGUGGGGAGCAAAACAGGAUUAGAUACCCUGGUAGUCCACGCCGUAAACGAUGUCUACUAGAUGUUCGUGGUCUUGUACCGUGAGUAUCGCAGCUAACGCAUUAAGUAGACCGCCUGGGGAGUACGGUCGCAAGAUUAAAACUCAAAUGAAUUGACGGGGUCAUAGCUGUUUCC
Molecule: ribosomal RNA, 586 nt
Filed under: uncultured bacterium
Lineage: Bacteria
Description: partial 16S ribosomal RNA
Rfam family: Bacterial small subunit ribosomal RNA
Source: RNAcentral